Molecule: ribosomal RNA, 465 nt
Filed under: uncultured bacterium
Lineage: Bacteria
Description: partial 16S ribosomal RNA
Rfam family: Bacterial small subunit ribosomal RNA
Source: RNAcentral
CCUACGGGAGGCUGCAGUGGGGAAUAUUGCGCAAUGGGCGAAAGCCUGACGCAGCGACGCCGCGUGAGGGAUGAAGGUCUUCGGAUCGUAAACCUCUGUCAGCAGGGAAGCACGGUCACUGUGCUAAUCAGCAGUGAAUUGACGGUACCUGCAAAGGAAGCACCGGCUAACUCCGUGCCAGCAGCCGGGGUAAUACGGAGGGUGCGAGCGUUAAUCGGAAUUACUGGGCGUAAAGCGCUCGUAGUCGGUAUGUCAAGUCAAGGGGGAAAUCCCCGCGCUCAACGUGGGAACUGCCUUUGAAACUGGCAAACUGGAGUGUGUGAGAGGAUAGUGGAAUUCCAGGUGUAGGAGUGAAAUGCGUAGAUAUCUGGAAGAACAUCAGUGGCGAAGGCGACUAUCUGGCACAUAACUGACGCUGAGGAGCGAAAGCGUGGGUAGCAAACAGGAUUAGAUACCCCAGUAGUC